Molecule: ribosomal RNA, 540 nt
Filed under: uncultured bacterium
Lineage: Bacteria
Description: bacterial SSU rRNA
Rfam family: Bacterial small subunit ribosomal RNA
Source: RNAcentral
GCCAUCCCGCGUGAAGGAUGAAGGCCCUAUGGGUCGUAAACUUCUUUUAUAUGCCAAGAAAACGACCUACGAGUAGGUUUUUGACGGUAGUAUAUGAAUAAGCAUCGGCUAACUCCGUGCCAGCAGCCGCGGUAAUACGGAGGAUGCGAGCGUUAUCCGGAUUCAUUGGGUUUAAAGGGUGCGUAGGCGGUUUUUUAAGUCAGUGGUGAAAUCCUGCGGCUCAACCGUAGAACUGCCAUUGAAACUGAAAAACUUGAAUAUAAUUGAGGUAGGCGGAAUGAGUAGUGUAGCGGUGAAAUGCUUAGAUAUUACUCAGAACACCAAUUGCGAAGGCAGCUUACCAAGCUAUAAUUGACGCUGAGGCACGAAAGCGUGGGGAUCGAACAGGAUUAGAUACCCUGGUAGUCCGCGCCGUAAACGAUGUUCACUCGCUGUUUGCGAUAUACAGUAAGCGGCCAAGCGAAAGCAUUAAGUGAACCACCUGUGGAGUACGUCGGCUUCGGUGAAACUCAAAGGUAUUUGACGGGGGCCCGCACAAGC